GGGCGCGGGCCCUUUCCCCGGGCGGCCAGGCGCGCACCCCACCCCCUCCCGUGCCCGGACGAAGGAGUUUUCUGAUCCUUUCGCAGGAAUCAGGACCGAUUUCCUGUAACUGCUUACACUAACCAAAUGCCCGAAGCUUACCAAGCAACUCAUUUUUCCAUGAAAGAAACAAAUAAGUACCUGCUACCUUCUGAAUUCCUAAUCAGCCCAGACUACAAAGACUUGCAGAAAUAGCUUAAUAAGUUAACAUAAUUAGGGUAAUUAUUACCUGCAUUUUUCAUUAACUGUUAUUUGUACAUCUUUUUGGGCCAAAAAGAGCCUGAGGCAACCCACAAUAAAAAGUAUUCAACAAUGUGCAGAAAGGCCAAGAGCCAAAACCAGCACUGCUGAUGGUUCUUCAGAACUCCAGGCUAAUGCUGCAGUGUUUCCACCUGAGAACUUGAUUGGCCAGAAACCCUGAGGCUAUGACAGUGACCUCAGUGCCCUCAGGACAUGGCCGACCAUCUAAUUUAAAGAGAGGAUGAGGAGCGACGAGCUGGCGGUGGCCAUGGAAGAGACUGGUGGGCAGGACGAGGCGGCGGCGGCGGCGCAGGGCGGCCCUUUCCCCGGCCUGGCGCUGGCGCCUCCCGG
Miniopterus natalensis is the source of this 630-nucleotide non-coding RNA. NCBI's taxonomy places the organism in Eukaryota, Metazoa, Chordata, Mammalia, Chiroptera, Miniopteridae. The record is from RefSeq and is a predicted model, not a curated record.